RNAcentral lists this non-coding RNA (27 nucleotides) under Rattus norvegicus (Norway rat). Lineage: Eukaryota; Metazoa; Chordata; Mammalia; Rodentia; Muridae. The record is from RNAcentral.
GGCUCUGAUUUCUGAAGCAAGUAAAGC